This 800-nucleotide ribosomal RNA is filed under the name uncultured Bacillota bacterium. RNAcentral describes it as "bacterial SSU rRNA". It matches the Rfam family "Bacterial small subunit ribosomal RNA", at positions 71 to 902 of the family's 1533-position model. Lineage: Bacteria; Bacillati; Bacillota. The record is from RNAcentral.
AAAGUGGAGCAAUCCAUGAGUAAAGUGGCGACCGGGUGAGUAACACGUGACUAACCUACCUCCGAGUGGGGAAUAACUCCGGGAAACCGGGGCUAAUACCGCAUAACAUCGCAAGAUCAAAGCAGCAAUGCGCUUGGAGAGGGGGUCGCGGCUGAUUAGCUAGUUGGCGGGGUAACGGCCCACCAAGGCGAAGAUCGGUAUCCGGCCUGAGAGGGCGCACGGACACACUGGAACUGAAACACGGUCCAGACUCCUACGGGAGGCAGCAGUGGGGAAUUUUGCGCAAUGGGGGAAACCCUGACGCAGCAACGCCGCGUGGAGGAUGAAGCCCCUUGGGGCGUAAACUCCUUUCGACCAAGACGAUAAUGACGGUACUGGUGGAAGAAGCACCGGCUAACUCUGUGCCAGCAGCCGCGGUAAUACAGAGGGUGCGAGCGUUGUUCGGAAUUAUUGGGCGUAAAGGGCGCGUAGGCGGUGCCACAAGUCACUUGUGAAAUCUCCGGGCUUAACUCGGAGCCUGCAGGCGAAACUGUGGUGCUGGAGUAUGGGAGAGGUGCGUGGAAUUCCCGGUGCAGCGGUGAAAUGCGUAGAUAUCGGGAGGAACACCUGUGGCGAAAGCGGCGCACUGGACCAUAACUGACGCUGAGGCGCGAAAGCUAGGGGAGCAAACAGGAUUAGAUACCCUGGUAGUCCUAGCCCUAAACGAUGAUUGCUUGGUGUAGCAGGUACCCAAUCCUGCUGUGCCGCAGCUAACGCGAUAAGCAAUCCGCCUGGGGAGUACGGUCGCAAGGCUGAAACUC